AUCUCUUCUUGACCUUUUGGCUAAGAUCAAGUGUA
Molecule: small nuclear RNA, 35 nt
Filed under: Cervus elaphus hippelaphus
Lineage: Eukaryota; Metazoa; Chordata; Mammalia; Artiodactyla; Cervidae
Source: RNAcentral